CGCGUAGGCGGUCCUAUAAGUCAGCUGUGAAAGCCCGGGGCUUAACCCCGGAAGUGCAGUUGAAACUAUAGGACUUGAGUAUGGGAGAGGGAAGUGGAAUUCCUGGUGUAGCGGUGAAAUGCGUAGAUAUCAGGAGGAACAUCGGUGGCGAAGGCGACUUCCUGGACCAAUACUGACGCUGAGGCGCGAAGGCGUGGGGAGCAAACA
Molecule: ribosomal RNA, 207 nt
Filed under: uncultured bacterium
Lineage: Bacteria
Description: partial 16S ribosomal RNA
Rfam family: Bacterial small subunit ribosomal RNA
Source: RNAcentral